CUAAAAUCUCCAUUUAUUACUUCUCAAAAGUCAAUUCCAAAAUCGUAAAUCCAAUAAAUGGCAAUCCAAAUAAUAUAAUAAAUCUUGAAGAUAUCGAUAAAAUUAUAAAAACCGCAAGUCUAAAAAUGAAAGAAAUAAAACUCCCAAAGCACCAAUCCGAUAGCAAUCACUCCUGCUCGUUAGUCUCACCUGAAAGGGGGAAAGAAGAAGGGGUGAGUAACAAGGGAGUUACUCCGUGAGGUAUGAGAUGCUAAACCACAAACCACUGAUUCAGUACAUAGCACUACGACUUUGUAAGCCUAGCUCUAGCAUGAAACAAACACGGUGUCUAAUACACCGCAUAAAACAUCAAAUGCGCUGAUAGUGCAUAACUAGAUCACACACCCGGCAUUCUCCUUAUACGGAUAUAAAUAUAUAACUCUAUGCGACGCUAGUACAAGAGUCCAUCCUUGUACCCCGCAAUCACCUAUGCGCCGCUAGUACAAACAUCUUUGUACCCCGCAAUCUCCAUACAAUGCGCCGCUAGCAUAGACGUCCAUAUGCCCCGCAAUCUCCAUACAAUGCGCCGCUAACACAAACGUCUUUGUGUCCCGCAAUCUCGACACAAUGCAUCGUUAGCACAACAUCUUUGUGCCCCGUAAUCUCAUAACAGACUUAUGUAUACAUAUAUAAAUAACAGUCUUUAAUUCAUUCAAUUCAGUCAACCGUUGAAUCCUCUAUUAUCCUAUUUCCGGUUUAACAAUCAAUAGUAAUAAUAAACAAACAAGACUCUCAAACAGACUCAAUUCACAGACACAGAUCAUGUUUCGAAACUAAGCUUUCAAUAAUAGUAGUACAAAACUAGCUUGUGAUUUAAUGGGAUAACCCUCACCUUAACCAUAACGGAAAACCAGAAACGGAUCCGACAAUAAACAAGAUGACUUGAUCAACAAGAAAGCUAAGGUUUCACCAUAGAUCUCAAUCUCGAUCUCGUCAACGACACACCAGAGCGGAAAAGAAUAGAAGCAAAACAAUAAGACAUGAUUAAAAUAUAUUUAAUUUAGGAUUUAAGAAACUUGCAACACAAGAAAUUAAUAUAGUUUCUUUUAACCUUCACGGCUUGGAAUCAUAGUGGCAGAUCCCAGCCCCAAAAGUGCAUGGUCCUCUCCGAUGACUCACAGUUGAUGAUAACAGCUGGUCGGAUUGAAACGGUGGCCCCGGUCGUGGUGAUCCGUGCCGAUGGUGUCAAGAUGCGAUGACUCCUGCUCGUACGUCUUCCUCAAUGCACUAACGUAUCAGCAACCAUAGAAGAAAGAUAACUUGAGGGAGGAGAUGAAGGAGGAGCACGUGUGUGGAGGUGGAGAGGAAGAGAGAUAAUCAAAGGAGAUGAUAGCAAUGACGGCUCCACUCUCGACAAAUCUCUACUAAUAAAAGGGACCUUUCGAGACUCCUUAGAGCGUCCACAUCAG
Molecule: long non-coding RNA, 1448 nt
Filed under: Brassica napus (rape)
Lineage: Eukaryota; Viridiplantae; Streptophyta; Magnoliopsida; Brassicales; Brassicaceae
Description: long non-coding RNA (BNAP_LNC017535)
Source: RNAcentral